ACCGAUUUUUCUCCGUACGCGACGUAGCGCCUGUGCUCACGCACACACGCGCCUCAAGCUUGUAGUAGUGUACCUAUCGUAGCGCGCUUGUAUGAAGCUUUGCCUCUGUUCGCUACUCAUGUGUCGUAGCAGCGGGAGUUUUCCGCGGCAUCUAUUUUGCGAUCCCAAUUCCAAAACCAGUUGCUCGAAAAUUGAAAUUUUAAUAGUGUUACUUUAUUUUAAAGUUUGUGCCUAUAUUAUUUCUGAUCGUUAUGUUAUAUAUGUAUACAUUGCGGUGCUAACGAGCAUUCUCAUCGUGGCAGCGGGAGUUUUCCGCGGCAUCUAUUUUGCGAUCCCAUUCCAAAUUCAGUUGCUCGAAAAUUAAAAUUUUAAUAGUGUUACUUUAUUUUUAAGUUUAUGCCUUUGUGAUCGUUAUGUUAUAUAGGUAUACGCCAUUGCGGUGCUAACGAGCAUUCUCAUCGUAGCAGCUGGAGUUUUCCGCGGCAUCUAUUUUGCGAUCCCAAUUCCAAAACCAGUUGCUCGAAAAUUGAAAUUUUAAUAGUAUUACUUUAUUUUUAAGUUUAUGCCUAUAUUAUUUCUGAUCGUUAUUGUAUCUGAAUAUAUAGGUAUACAUUGCGGUGCUAACAAACAUUUUCUUCGUAGCAGCUGGAGUUUUCCGCGGCAUCUAUUUUGCGAUCCCAAUUCCAAAACCAGUUGCUCGAAAAUUGAAAUUUUAAUAGUGUUACUUUAUUUUUAAGUUUAUGCCUAUAUUAUUUCUGAUCAUUAUUGUAUCUGAACAAUAGGUAUACAUUGCGGUGCUAACAAACAUUUUCAUCGUAGCAGCUGGAGUUUUCCGCGGCAUCUAUUUUGCGAUCCCAAUUCCAAAACCAGUUGCUCGAAAAUUGAAAUUUUAAUAGUGUUACUUUAUUUUUAAGUUUAUGCCUAUAUUAUUUCUGAUCAUUAUUGUAUCUGAAUAAUAGGUAUACAUUUCGGUGCUAACAAACAUUUUCAUCGUAGCAGCUGGAGUUUUCCGCGGCAUCUAUUUUGCGAACCCAAUUCCAAAACCAGUUGCUCGAAAAAUGAAAUUUAAAUAGUGUGUGUUCCUUUAUUUUUAAGUUUAUGCCUAUAUCAUAUCUGAUCGUUGUUAUCUGAAUAUAUAGGUAUAUCAUUCUUU
Molecule: long non-coding RNA, 1153 nt
Organism: Maniola jurtina (meadow brown)
Lineage: Eukaryota; Metazoa; Arthropoda; Insecta; Lepidoptera; Nymphalidae
Exons: 2
Source: RefSeq, a predicted model, not a curated record